AUGUGUUAUAGCUUUUUAAGAAUUUGUCUAGCAGAUUUUCCAUUUUUUACUAGAAAAUCCCC
This is a small nuclear RNA of Cercocebus atys (sooty mangabey), 62 nucleotides long. Its record names the gene U7. It matches the Rfam family "U7 small nuclear RNA". From Rfam's summary of the family: Animal histone pre-mRNAs are spliced by a different mechanism than nuclear pre-mRNAs and self-splicing introns. This processing involves the U7 snRNP, which contains only one RNA species: U7. The 5' end of U7 RNA is thought to base-pair to a conserved spacer element downstream of the cleavage site in histone pre-mRNA. The record is from Ensembl. NCBI's taxonomy places the organism in Eukaryota, Metazoa, Chordata, Mammalia, Primates, Cercopithecidae.